This 239-nucleotide long non-coding RNA is filed under the name Capsicum annuum. Its description in RNAcentral is "long non-coding RNA (CANN_LNC018477)". The record is from RNAcentral. Lineage: Eukaryota; Viridiplantae; Streptophyta; Magnoliopsida; Solanales; Solanaceae.
GGAGACAUGUUCGCCUAGAUGAUCUGCCUGGAUGGGCUGAGGUGCUAGAUGGUCUCUCAUUCCUCUUCCCUUAGUCCUCUUUAGAGGAAUAUUCAAUAAAUGGAAUAGAAACUUGGAUUAGACUGAGAGUUUAACUUGAACUUGUGCUCACCCGUAUGACAUGAUUACUGAAAGAAGGGAAGUUUUUCCUAAAACAUCUAAUAGCCUCCUGUCCAUAAGUGUGGCACUCUACACACCCA